GCGGGUGUAGUCUAGUGGCUAUGACUUUAGCCUUCCAAGCUAAUAGCUCGGGUUCAAAUCCCGACACCCGCA
Molecule: transfer RNA, 72 nt
Filed under: Thermoplasmata archaeon
Lineage: Archaea; Methanobacteriati; Thermoplasmatota; Thermoplasmata
Also listed under: 1 other name
Description: tRNA-Gly
Rfam family: tRNA
About the family: Transfer RNA (tRNA) molecules are approximately 80 nucleotides in length. Their secondary structure includes four short double-helical elements and three loops (D, anti-codon, and T loops).
Source: RNAcentral